This 569-nucleotide long non-coding RNA is filed under the name Elaeis guineensis (African oil palm). RNAcentral's name for it is "long non-coding RNA (EGUI_LNC040495)". The record is from RNAcentral. Lineage: Eukaryota; Viridiplantae; Streptophyta; Magnoliopsida; Arecales; Arecaceae.
CUCGAUUUUUGCUGAUUUCAAUUUUAUCCUUUUGAUCAGGUAUUUCAAUUGAUAAAGCUUCUAUUGGUUUUUUCAUCUUUGCGACUAUCACAAAGCAUUGCUUAGCAAGCAUUUGAUCUCCCCACAUCUCUCUAACUCCAUUCUUGGUUGGGAACUAGACUAAUAAAUGAUAAGUGGAAGCUACAGCCUUGAGGGUAUUGAGCCCAAGUCGGCCAAGGAUAGCAUUGUAAGCUGACGAUAUUUUAAUAACUAGAAAAGUAAACCAUACAGUUGACUGAUAAGAUUCUUUCCCCGUAGUGACAGGCAGGAUGAUCUUUCCCUCCACGGCUACAGAAUCGUUGGAGAAUCCAACCAGAGGAGCGCCAACCUAUUUUAGCUGAUCUAGCGUAUUAAUUUUUUAAAAUGCAUCAUAGAACAAUUAUAUCAAUGAAACUUUCAUUAUCAACUAAUAUUCUUUUUACAUCAUAUUUUGCUAUUGUCAUAGAGAUGAUAAUAGUAUCAUCAUGAGGAGUUUGGACUCAUCUAACAUCAUCAUUGGAAAAUAAAAUCAUAUUAUCUGUAUGUUACCG